AGCUUUGCACAGUGGCAGUAUCGUGAUUAUUGCUAAUUGAAAAUUUUUCCCAAUACCCCAUGAUGACGACUUGAAAUAUAGUUGGUACUGGCAAUUUUUGACAGUCUUUACAGAGA
This 116-nucleotide small nuclear RNA is filed under the name Callithrix jacchus (white-tufted-ear marmoset). Its description in RNAcentral is "U4 spliceosomal RNA (ENSCJAG00000042874.2)". It matches the Rfam family "U4 spliceosomal RNA". Rfam says of the family: U4 small nuclear RNA (U4 snRNA) is a component of the major U2-dependent spliceosome. The structure of U4 snRNA from yeast and human has been reported. The record is from Rfam by way of RNAcentral. Lineage: Eukaryota; Metazoa; Chordata; Mammalia; Primates; Cebidae.